CCUACGGGUGGCAGCAGUCGAGAAUCAUUCACAAUGGGGGAAACCCUGAUGGUGCGACGCCGCGUGGGGGAAUGAAGGUCUUCGGAUUGUAAACCCCUGUCAUGUGGGAGCAAAUUAAAAAGAUAGUACCACAAGAGGAAGAGACGGCUAACUAUGUGACAGCAGCCUCGGUAAUACAGAGGUCUCUAGGGCUGUUCGGAAUCACUGGGCGUAAAGCGUGCGUUGUCUGUUGCGUGAGUCGCGUGUGAAAAGCGCGGGCUCAACCCGCGGACAGCCCAUGAAACUGCGAGGCUGGAGUAAUCGAGGGGGAAGCGGAAUGCGCGGUGUAGCAGUGAAAUGCGUAGAGAUCGGGAGGAACACCCGUGGCGAAGGCAGGUUCCCGGACCUUAACUGACGCUGAGGCAAGAAAGCGUGGGGAGCGAAAGGGAUUAGAUACCCCAGUAGUC
This 446-nucleotide ribosomal RNA is filed under the name uncultured bacterium. Its description in RNAcentral is "partial 16S ribosomal RNA". It matches the Rfam family "Bacterial small subunit ribosomal RNA", at positions 338 to 795 of the family's 1533-position model. The record is from RNAcentral.